RNAcentral lists this ribosomal RNA (371 nucleotides) under uncultured bacterium. RNAcentral's name for it is "bacterial SSU rRNA". It matches the Rfam family "Bacterial small subunit ribosomal RNA", at positions 527 to 896 of the family's 1533-position model. The record is from RNAcentral.
GUAGGAAGCGAGCGUUAUCCGGAUUUACUGGGCGUAAAGCGCGUGUAGGCGGUCGGGUAAGUUGGAUGUGAAAGCUCCUGGCUUAACUGGGAGAGGUCGUUCAAUACUGCUUGACUUGAGGAUGGGAGAGGGAAGUGGAAUUCCGGGUGUAGUGGUGAAAUGCGUAGAUAUCCGGAGGAACACCAGUGGCGAAAGCGGCUUCCUGGCCCAUAACUGACGCUCAGACGCGAAAGCUAGGGGAGCGAACGGGAUUAGAGACCCCGGUAGUCCUAGCUGUAAACGAUGUGGACUUGGCGUUGGCGGGUUUAAAUCCGUCAGUGCCGAAGCAAACGCGAUAAGUCCACCGCCUGGGGACUACGGCCGCAAGGUUA